This 3543-nucleotide long non-coding RNA is filed under the name Vigna radiata. RNAcentral's name for it is "long non-coding RNA (VRAD_LNC002069)". Lineage: Eukaryota; Viridiplantae; Streptophyta; Magnoliopsida; Fabales; Fabaceae. The record is from RNAcentral.
CUUAAAGUAAGUAAUUAUUUUAUUUAUACGGGUCUUACAACAUUCGCUUAGUUUGCAAUUCUGAAGACCGAAUUAGCCUUCGCUUAGUUGGGUGAUUCGAGUUGGAUUUGCAUUAGAGUAGUGUGUACCUAUUGUUAAUCUGUGAUUGGAAGAAUAGUGAUCGAGUUAAUGACCAACCAUUUUCAUAUUCCGUUUUUACAUUUAUGUUUACCUUUCUGUUUGCAUCUUUGUUUACAUUGUUGUUUGCAUUCGUGUUUUGAUUUUGUUUAUCUGCAUUCACAAACCUUUCAACAACCCCCCCCACUACGUGUUUGCCCUAAUUCUUGAACCACAUUUGGUACUUGAGAGACGACCUAGGAGUCACUUCCUAGUCUAUAUUGCAUUCUUUUAUGCACAUUAAAUUUUGCAUGGGAUGCGACACCCAUCAAAAUUUUGGCGUAGUUGUCGUGGACCAACGGUUCGGUUUUAGGUCUUUUGUUGUGGUAGUAUGUGUUGUCUUGUCUUGUGUUGUGAGUGUGAUGUUGUGUUUUGUGUGUUCGUCAUUGUGUGUUGCAUUUAGGUAGCUUUAGUUGCAUAUAUUCAUUGCAUUCUUCUUUUCCCCCUUCUUUCCCAUGUCUACCUAUUUUGGUUAUGGAUAUUGUUUCUUCUGCCUGUGCCUAUGAUUAUGAUUCUCCUGUUGAUUUCUAUGUUGAGAACAGUAAGGUUCCUCCUCCAUCUCAUGAGAGUGCUCUUAGGGAGUCAUUUCCACUUGAUGAGGAGGACAUUCGUUAUGUUUCCAACACUGGACUGAUACAUUUGCUGCCUAGGUUUCAUGGUUUUGCAGGUGAAUGCCCACGUAGACAUUUGGAGGAGUUAUACACAUUAUGCUCUUUAAUGAAACCUCCAGAUUUCUCGAAUGAAGACAUGUUCUUAAGGGCAUUUAGGCACUCAUUACACGGAGCAGCAAAGGGUUGGUGUUAUUGUCUUCCUCCAGGAUUCAUCACCAGUUGCGAAGAUCUGAAGCAUCAUUUUUUAGACAAAUUCUCCCCUGUGCGGUAUGGUUAUAGUGACGAUCCUGGGUGGACUGAUCCUAACUUGGGAUGGUAUGGUACUUCACAGCAUCAAUAUUAGGAACCAUCAUUCUAGACUCCUUGUAUGCCUCCACCGGUCCAGGAACCACAACAGUUGCAGUUUCAUGAGCCUCAAGCUUAUGUUCUGAACAUCUACAAUAACAGGCAGCCACAGCAGAAAAACCGGAGGCAGCCAUUCACAUAGGAGAUGGGGAGCAGAUUCAUGAGCCUACUACUGCACCAUCUACUUCCCCACCCUCCUAUGCCUCCCCUCUUGCACUUGAGGAUGCAGUUGCUCAUUCUGCUUUUAUUGGUGAGAUGAAUCAUGAAUCAGCACAGGUUUUCUCUAAUCUUGAAAUUCCACUUGCUUUGCCUUAGCUGUUUAUGAAUUCAAAUAUUCUUGAUUCUGCUGCAGAUUCACAUGUUAGUGAUGAUUUUGAUAUAGAAACUGUGAAACUGAAGAUGCUUUAGACUUAGGUUUAAAUUUUGAUCUUUCACAGAUUUCUGAAAAUUUUAAAUGUAGUUGUGAAGUUGGUUCUUGCUCUAUUUGUGUUGAAAUCACUUGAGGUUCCAACUUUAUGAUGAGUGAUACUAACUGUGAGUCUAAUGAAAAUGUUGAGGCACAGGUAGGUAUAAGCAACACCUUUUAGAUAGGUAGACCAUCUUCACCUUCCACCAAUCUACCAAUCUUCAGGGAAGUAGAGGUAAACAUACCUAUGAUUGAUUCUGUUGUUGAUGAUGAUGCUAGUGAUAGGUAUGUUGAUGAUUAUGUUGUUGAUGAGCCUGUUUUUAAUUCUCCCUCUCUGCAUGAUGAGAAACAACUUUUGCCAUCUUGUCUGAAUGUUUGUUCUCCAUGCACUGAACAUGAAUCUCAGCCUAUGGUUGAUAUUGCUUCUAAAUUUGAACUUGAUUCAUGUUCUGAGGGUAUAUCUGAGGUUUAGCCUGUUACAUUGGGAUUGGGUGUUAAACCCCUGCAUGUUAUUUCUGUGGAACCAUAUUGCACUAACCAUGUUGUAGGAGGUACAUAUCAAUUUAACCAAUACACACCCAUGGUGGAAGACAAAGGUCCCGACAAUUUGAAGAUUAAUAGGCAUCAGCUGAACCUGUUCAUCAACUAUCACUUUUUCUUAGAUCCAAUUGUGGAGGACAUCUCCCUACUUGAUCAAAUUUGGAGGAUGAAGCAGUUCUUCCUCAAGACUUUCUUGCUGAAUCCGAUGGUGGAAGAUAUCUCCCUGCAAGCCCAAAAUUGGCAACUACCACCAUGAUCAGGGGAUUUUUCUUUUCCCUUCCCCUCCCUUUCCCACUUUUAUUGCACUUGUCCAUGAUCUAUUGACUGUUUUGACUGCUGAUCUUAUGCUUGUGACACAUUGAGGACACUNUGUAGUUUAAGUGUGGUCUAUUGGGGGAGAUUUUGAAUUUUUGUUGUUAGUUUAUGUUUUUUGUGUUAAAUUUUUCGUUUUCUAGGUAGUUUUUGUUGUGUUUUGUAUACAGUUUUGCAUGUUUCUCUAAAUUUUUCGACUUUGUUUAGGUUAUCAGUUUUUCCUUCACUUCGUUGAUACUCUGAUUUGUUUGAAAUCCUUGCUUUUCUUUGCUUGAAAAGAGGAUUAUGAUGUUUGAGAUGUUGAUUUGAUUGUGAAAGAAAUACCCUGUGUGAGAAUUGAGCCACUUGAUAUUCUUUCUUGUGUGUGAUAUAUCUCUUGAUUGCUUGCACAUAUGCCUUGGCUUAACUCUUUUUGAUGAUUCUUGAUUGAUAUGCAUGUUUGAAAGUGAUAAAGACAACUUUGUUGUUGAGCCUUUCUAGCCAAAUGAGCCUACCAUGUUUUGAUCCAUUGAUGACCCAUUUUGAGCCUAUGUUUUCCCCAUUUCUUUGUUUUGAAGCUUAUGCACUAGCCCUAAGUGAAAAACCAUGUUUACCUUAACCUUAGGGAGUUUUGGAGCUUUGGAAUUGUUUUGGGAAUAAGUGUGGUCUCCUGGGAGAUUAUGAUGAAUUGGCUAGUUGGUUCCUCUCCUUGUUUGUGUUUUUGUAAAUAUAUGGUGUAUCUUGUCUCUUAGAGUUAUGCCCAAUAUUGAGAGAAAAGAAAAGAGACAAGACGAAAAAAAAAAAGAAAAAAAAAUAAAGAAAAAUGAGAAAAAUUAAAAAAAAAUUGUGAAUAAUGGAGUCAAGAAGAGGAUUGAAUUAGAGGUUUUAGGUGUAAUUUGAUUGUGUUUCACUUGUUCCCCAUUGCUCCUCUAUUUCUUUUGGUUUGUAGCUUGUUAUCCAUACUCAUCAAAUUCUUUAUGCUCAUCAAAUUUGUAUGGGGACAACUCAUCAAAUUUUGGCGCCGUUGCCAAAGACCAACGGUUUAGUUUUAGGUCUUUUGUUGUGUUAGUGUGUGUUGUGUUUUGUCUUGUGUUGUGAGUAUGAUGUUCUGUUUUGUGUGUGGUGUCAUGUGUUGUUGCAUUUAGAUAAUUUUAGUUGCAUAUUUUCAUUGCAUUCUUCUUUUCCCCCUUUCUU